AGAGUUGAUCCUGGCUAGGAUGAACGCUGGCGGCGUGCCUAAUACAUGCAAGUCGAACGAGGUAGCAAUACCGAGUGGCGAACGGGUGAGUAACACGUAGGUAACCUGCCCUUAAGCUUGGGAUACCCAGAGGAAACUUGGCUAAUACCGGAUAACAACAGAGAAGGCAUCUUCUUUGCUUGAAAGGCCCCUUCAAGGGUCACUUAAGGAUGGACCUGCGGCGCAUUAGCUAGUUGGUGAGAUAACAGCCCACCAAGGCGAGGAUGCGUAGCCGAACUGAGAGGUUGAUCGGCCACAUUGGAACUGAGACACGGUCCAAACUCCUACGGGAGGCAGCAGUAAGGAGUUUUCGGCAAUGGGGGAAACCCUGACCGAGCAACGCCGCGUGAGCGAUGACGGCCCUAUGGGUUGUUAAAAAGCUCUGUUGUAAGCCAUGAAUGACAGCUUGAGGAAAUGCAAGUUGUUUGACGACAGCUUACCAGAAAGCCACGGCUAACUACGUGCCAGCAGCUGC
RNAcentral lists this ribosomal RNA (514 nucleotides) under uncultured bacterium. RNAcentral's name for it is "bacterial SSU rRNA". It matches the Rfam family "Bacterial small subunit ribosomal RNA", at positions 9 to 518 of the family's 1533-position model. The record is from RNAcentral.